GACGAGCACCUUGCGUUGCAGAUGGCCGACGAGUACAAGAAGCUCUCGGGCUACAUCGACCCCACCUUCAAGUCGGACGAGUACGUGGUGGUGUCCAAGAAGGGCAAGAAGA
Molecule: non-coding RNA, 112 nt
Filed under: Gloeochaete wittrockiana
Lineage: Eukaryota; Glaucocystophyceae; Gloeochaetales; Gloeochaetaceae
Source: RNAcentral